GAAAAUUAAAAUUGAGGCUGCUUGGUUGAAACUUGAAAGCAUUGAGAGGUAAAUCGCAUUUUGAAUUCCAAAUAUAUAUAUUUUCGCAAAUAUAUAGCCUGGACAUACAGAACAUUAAAAAAAAGGCCAAAAGAUGUUAUGUGCCUACAAUUCCUAACGACAAACAUGGCUGAAGUUUUCUUUUAAGAAGUGUUUGUCAGUGAGAUUGAAUGUUGAUUAAUAAAAAGGAAAAUUUUCACCUUUAUUAAUUGAAUGUUAAUUAUUAUUAUUAUUUUUUUCAAAUAGAAAUAGACGCAUAUACUCAGGUCAGCGACGGGUUAAAUGUCUACGGAUAUUGUAGCAUUUAGAAAUGAAUUAGGGAGAUGCACGUGAAAUGGGCAGCAAUGCCAAUGCGUGCCGGAGUAAAGCGUAUUAAUUAUUGAAUAACAAAGUAAGAGGGUAGGCAA
RNAcentral lists this unclassified non-coding RNA (446 nucleotides) under Hevea brasiliensis (rubber tree). Lineage: Eukaryota; Viridiplantae; Streptophyta; Magnoliopsida; Malpighiales; Euphorbiaceae. The record is from RNAcentral.